This 458-nucleotide ribosomal RNA is filed under the name uncultured bacterium. Its description in RNAcentral is "partial 16S ribosomal RNA". It matches the Rfam family "Bacterial small subunit ribosomal RNA", at positions 28 to 507 of the family's 1533-position model. The record is from RNAcentral.
GAUAAACGCUGGCGGCGUGCAUGAGACAUGCAAGUCGAACGAAGGAUCGGGCUUGCUCGAUCCUUAGUGGCGGACGGCUGAGUAACGCGUAGGUGACCUACCCCGAAGUGGGGAAUAACUGCCCGAAAGGGUGGCUAAUACCGCAUGUGGUCGCACGUUCAUUCGUGCGAGUAAAGCCGCAAGGCGCUUCGGGAGGGGCCUGCGUCCGAUUAGCUCGUUGGUGGGGUAAUGGCUUACCAAGGCGACGAUCGGUAGGUGGUCUGAGAGGAUGAUCACCCAGACUGGGACUGAGACACGGCCCAGACUCCUACGGGAGGCAGCAGUCGGGAAUUUUGCUCAAUGGGGGAAACCCUGAAGCAGCAACGCCGCGUGAGGGAUGAAGGCCUUCGGGUUGUAAACCUCUUUUGUCAGGGACGAUGAUGACGGUACCUGGCGAAUAAGCCACGGCUAACUACGUG